This 401-nucleotide unclassified non-coding RNA is filed under the name Hevea brasiliensis (rubber tree). Lineage: Eukaryota; Viridiplantae; Streptophyta; Magnoliopsida; Malpighiales; Euphorbiaceae. The record is from RNAcentral.
CCUCAUCUUGCAGCCCUAGUUGGCAGGCAUAACCGGAAACCAUGGACGAAGUUUAUUAAUGUUGAGAAUCAGCAUUUGGCAGUUCCUGAGGCUGUUGACUUCCUUGACAUGUUGCUGCGAUAUGAUCACCAAGAUAGGCCAACUGCAAAAGAAGCAAUGGCCCAUCCAUACUUCUAUCCAAUUAGAAACGCAGAAAGCAGCAGGGUUCGUACGUAGUUUCAAAUCUCAGGAUGCUGUCAAGUUGCAGCAUCUGUCUGUGCUUGUUAAGGAGCUUUCCCUUGUAAUCUGACGUAAUUUAAAAUUAUGGUGGUGAGCAUGCAUCUGAUGAACUCGUUAAUGUUUCUGUUGUUACGAAGUGAUUCGAUUUUUCAAUGCUUAAUUUAGAUAUUUUCUAACUUUGA